CACCAUUCACCGCCUUCUGUCCUCCCAGCAGCAACCCCAAAACUAGAAGCACAGCUGCACAAAGUAGCCUGAGAAAAUCCAUGGCAGAUUGAUGAUUACAACACCACUUGGAUUUAAAUUGGCACAAAAGUGUUUACAGUGACCGACAACAAAAAUAUCGUUGUGACGGUAUCCCAAUUACUCGACGUAGUUUUUAGCUUUUACGCAUGACAGUACGUCAUCGGAUUGGAUUGCAUGGAAGAUC
This 244-nucleotide long non-coding RNA is filed under the name Malus domestica (apple). RNAcentral's name for it is "long non-coding RNA (MDOM_LNC018197)". The record is from RNAcentral. Lineage: Eukaryota; Viridiplantae; Streptophyta; Magnoliopsida; Rosales; Rosaceae.